UUUACCUACGGGAGGCAGCAGUGGGGAAUAUUGCACAAUGGGCGAAAGCCUGAUGCAGCAACGCCGCGUGAAGGAAGAAGGGUUUCGGCUCGUAAACUUCUCUUAACAGGGACGAAAGAAAUGACGGUACCUGAAUAAGAAGCCCCGGCUAACUACGUGCCAGCAGCCGCGGUAAUACGGAGGGGGCAAGCGUUAUCCGGAAUUACUGGGGGUAAGGGGUGAGUAGGCGGCAUGGUAAGCCAGAUGUGAAAGCCUUGGGCUUAACCCGAGGAUUGCAUUUGGAACUAUCAAGCUAGAGUACAGGG
This 305-nucleotide ribosomal RNA is filed under the name uncultured bacterium. Its description in RNAcentral is "bacterial SSU rRNA". It matches the Rfam family "Bacterial small subunit ribosomal RNA", at positions 334 to 653 of the family's 1533-position model. The record is from RNAcentral.